GUGCCAGCCGCCGCGGUAAUACCGGCAGCCCAAGUGAUGGCCGAUAUUAUUGGGCCUAAAGCGUCCGUAGCUGGCCAGACAAGUCUGUUGGGAAAUCCACGCGCUCAACGCGUGGGCGUCCAGCGGAAACUGUCUGGCUUGGGGCCGGAGGACUCGAGGGGUGCGUCCGGGGUAGGAGUGAAAUCCCGUAAUCCUGGACGGACCACCGGUGGCGAAAGCGCCUCGAGAGGACGGACCCGACAGUGAGGGACGAAAGCCAGGGUCUCCAACCGGAUUAGAUACCCAGGUAGUCC
RNAcentral lists this ribosomal RNA (293 nucleotides) under uncultured bacterium. RNAcentral describes it as "partial 16S ribosomal RNA". It matches the Rfam family "Archaeal small subunit ribosomal RNA", at positions 455 to 747 of the family's 1478-position model. The record is from RNAcentral.